CCUGGGAAAUGCUAUGGAAAUGGCAAUUGUCUUCCAUUCAUAGAUGAGUGUGCACAAAGAUACUUGUGCGUGAAGGAGAUUUAAGUGGAAAAGUCGAUGCACAGAGACAGUCCCACUCUCUCGGCGUUGGAAGCCUGGGUCCAGUGGCACGAAAAGUCGUUACACCUGGAGACUUCCUCAGCUGCAUUGGAUGGCCGUGUUGUCCUUUGUGCUCCAUCACGCCCUAAGCACUCCACAGUGCUUUGCUGCGUCGCCCUCUCAGCCGUUGAACCUUCUCAUUGGUUUCUUCCAUCUGUUCUGCCAAAACAGUCUUCACAUGCUGGGUGAGCAAAGCCCUGGUUCACCAGGGGUCGACGUCGACCCGAUGGCUACCCUCACAAGGUUUAGCCGGCCUGUCGAAGCCAUUGCCUGGGGUGUGGCCGCUGCUGCAUGCUAGCAGCUACUGGGAGCCACAAGUGAGAGCUGGGUGUCAGGUGGGGGUCAGAGGCUGGAGAGCUGCCCUAGGAGGGCACGACAAGCCCUCCAUACCAGAGAUACUACCCCUCCCUGAGCACCCCAUACACCCCAAGGAUCUAGACCUGGGCGUCUACAUCAAAUACCGGCUGGAUGGCUCACUAUUCGACCUUCACCGCCUGACUGCAAAAACAAAGACAACAGAGAGACUCAUCCUGGAAGCUCUCUUUGCAGAUGACUGUGCUCUCAUGGCCCACCAAGAAAAUCAUCUCCAAACCAUAGUGGACAGGUUCUCCACCGCAACAAAACUGUUUGGCCUGACUAUCAGCCUCAGCAAAACAGAGGUGCUGUUCCAACCUGCACCAGGGAGGCCAACGAACCAGCCGUGCAUUACAAUCGACAGCACACAGCUUUCUAACGUCAACACUUUCAAGUACCUGGGCAGCACCAUCGCCAACGACGGGUCCCUAGACCAUGAGAUUAAUGCCAGGAUCCAAAAGGCCAGCCAGGCACUCGGGCGGCUGCGCUCCAAAGUCCUCCAACACAGCGGUGUAAGCACUGCGACGAAGCUCAAAGUGUACAACGCAGCGGUCCUCAGCUCGCUCCUGUACGGUGUGAGAUAUGGACACUGUACCGGAAGCACAUGAAGCAGCUGGAGCAAUUCCACCAACGCUCCCUCCGGUCAAUCAUGAGGAUCCGAUGGCAGGACCGAAUCACCAACCAGGAAGUCCUCGACAGAGCCAACUCCACCAGCAUCGAAGUCCUGGUCCUCAAAGCCCAG
RNAcentral lists this long non-coding RNA (1234 nucleotides) under Monodelphis domestica (gray short-tailed opossum). RNAcentral's name for it is "lncRNA (ENSMODG00000039937.1)". The record is from RNAcentral. Lineage: Eukaryota; Metazoa; Chordata; Mammalia; Didelphimorphia; Didelphidae.